UACCUAAUGAAGUAAUGUCUGUAAAAUGCUUUGAGACGCUGGGUGAAUGGAGCCGGACCAAAGACAUGCCAAAGGUCUAACAUCACCAUAGCAGCUCUGCAAGCCCUUCUGUUCUUCAUUCUGGUUCUGGAGCUGCAGCUCCGGUUUGCCCAGAUUUUGCUGAGGUCAGUAGCCUCCUGGAGAGAGCCAGAGGCCUGGGAUGAACCAGCAGAAGCUGUGAGGAGCCCAUUACUCAGCCAGUGAGUCAUGACACAAGCUUGCGAGAGGCAGAACACAGCCUGUGCGGACGUGCCCCCCAGCAGAGGAGCCCCAUCACGGAUGGAGUCAGAUCAGGAAGGACCAGUUCCCAAUGGUGCCUGCUUGAUCCCCGAGACGGAGAUGUAACCCUGAGUGGAGCAGCCCGUCCUCUGCUCCCCGGACUCCUCCCCAACUGGGACUGAGGCUCCUGCACAGAGUGGCUCCCUGGGUCUUGGCUGACUGACUGGAUGCAAUACUGCUUGCAAUAAAA
This 508-nucleotide long non-coding RNA is filed under the name Gopherus agassizii (Agassiz's desert tortoise). RNAcentral's name for it is "lncRNA (ENSGAGG00000023739.1)". Lineage: Eukaryota; Metazoa; Chordata; Testudines; Testudinidae. The record is from RNAcentral.